Molecule: ribosomal RNA, 120 nt
Filed under: uncultured bacterium
Lineage: Bacteria
Description: partial 16S ribosomal RNA
Rfam family: Bacterial small subunit ribosomal RNA
Source: RNAcentral
GACGAACGCUGGCGGCGUGCUUAACACAUGCAAGUCGAGCGAGGUUCGCUUCAGUGGCAACACUGUCGUGAUACCUAGCGGCGAACGGGUGAGUAACACGUGAGGAACCUGCCCCAGACU